This 574-nucleotide long non-coding RNA is filed under the name Vigna radiata. RNAcentral describes it as "long non-coding RNA (VRAD_LNC017339)". Lineage: Eukaryota; Viridiplantae; Streptophyta; Magnoliopsida; Fabales; Fabaceae. The record is from RNAcentral.
AAAGAAUGAGUUGGAAACGCAGGAACUGAGAGAAAGAAUGAGUUGGAAACCCAAGAACUGAGAGAAAGAAUGCGUUGGAAACCCAGGAACUGAGAGAAAGAAUGAGUUGGAAACGAAGGAACUGAGAGAAAGAAUGAGUUGUUUACGUAGGAGCUGAGAGAAAGAAUGACUUACGAGAGAACAUUAAUAAUACACCUUUUUAUUUUGGAAUAGAAUACUUUGACAUGGUUGUAGUAUCUGACAUUCAGUUAACACGCGGUGGGGUCACUUUCGCUCAAUGUCAGCAAGGGUAAUUUUGUCAAGUUGUAAGCUGAGUUUGCUGAGUAAACGAAACUGUGUGUUCCAGUUUAAGCGUUUGGGUCUAUUUCUUAUUUCACUGAUUUCACUUUUGCAAAGGCUGGUGAAUUUUUUGUGCUAGGGCAAAGGUGAUUUCACAUUUAUCAGCUCUCAUAGCUGCUACAGAACGAUCAGGAUCAUCCUGAGUCUCUCGCAGAUACACGAAACCAUCCUUCAUAUCUCUUAAGCAAAUCACUUCUUCAUCAUCUUCAUCUACAUUUCUUUUGUCCGAUCCACU